CUGGGCAAGUGAAAGGACCUCUCGGAGUCUCCGUGCCCUCAUCUGUAAAAUGAAGCCAACAAGAGCAAUUACCACGUGGGAUUGUCCUGAGAAGUAAAGGAGGAAGAAGGUCAAAAGCAAGAGCCCAGAGCCAUGGCCUGCCUCUCUGGUGCAGGUGAAGUUUAAUAAUAAAGGAAUCUCAUAAAAUAGGGUUUCCCUCAUGGCUCAGCCAUAAGGAAUCCGACUGCAAUGCAAGAGACACAGGAGAUGCCAGUUUGGUUCCUGGGUCAGGAAGAUCCCCUGGAGGAGGGCAUGGCAACCCACUCCAGUAUUCUUGCCUGGAGAAUCCCAUGGACAGAGGAGCCUGGCAGGCUACAGUCCACAGGGUUGCAAAGAGUUAGACAGGACUGAAGCGACUGAGCACGCAUGCAU
This is a long non-coding RNA of Bos taurus (domestic cattle), 411 nucleotides long. NCBI's taxonomy places the organism in Eukaryota, Metazoa, Chordata, Mammalia, Artiodactyla, Bovidae. The record is from Ensembl.